This is a long non-coding RNA of Phasianus colchicus (ring-necked pheasant), 2308 nucleotides long. The record is from Ensembl. Lineage: Eukaryota; Metazoa; Chordata; Aves; Galliformes; Phasianidae.
AUGGCACGAGUGUGGGGGGCCACGGCCCCUGCCCGCCUUGCUCUCCUCCUCCUACUGAUGGCCAUGUGUUCCCAGGAGAUUUGUGCUGCUCCGUGGCGAGCACCAGGACCAGGCUGUCUUGGUGGAUUACCAGAGCGAAGUCCUGUCCCUGAGCCUGCGGUGGAUGCCAGAGGUGUGAGUGGAGUUGAGUGGGAUCCAGCUUCCCAGCUGAGCUUCAGGACCGAAGCCCCAGCAACUCGUAUGGGUCCUGAGAGAUUGAGAAAGACACGGGAAAGAGGAAAAUAUCCCCAGACGCUGUCCCAUAUGCUAAUGAAAAUCAUGAAGGACAAGGCAGCGCAUGGUGUGGAUGGUGAAGGACAUGCAAAUGCCACAGAAGAUGAAGAUCUACUGAAGUACUGCCUUGCACUUACUGCGGCUCUCCUGGUUUCCAUGCUGGCAGCGAUGAUUACGUUCUGUCUUGUUAUCCGGCGAUGUAGGCAGAGAAACCAGCACCUUGCUGCAGCUGCUGGAGCCUGGCCCGAUGCCCACGGCCACAACUCGCACUUGGAUGGACAGCCUGCUCUCCUCAAGGUGCCCGACCGACAGACACGGCAUGGACAGCCACCACCUGUGCAGGGACAACCUGCCCUCCUGCCGCAGAGCACCACCAGAGCAGACUCCGCUGGGCCAGACAGCUGCCAGGCUCAGUUGCCCCCGCCUCAGACUCCACGGCCCACCAGCCCAGGCUCCGAGGCCCCCGGGAUGUGUGACAGGCCUAGCAGCCCCCAGGCAUCAACACCGCCCCCCCGUCCCCCUCCACCCUCUUUCAUGGGAUGGAAGAAACCUGCCCGAUUUGGAGGCUUGUGGUCAUCGGUCAGCACCCAAACAACGGCUCCCUGGCCUAUGAGCGACAGGCCCAGCUGUCCCUGGACAUCAACACCACCCCCCCGUCCUCCUCCACCAUCCUUCAGGGAACGGGAACAGCUUCCCCAGGCUGUAGGCUUGACAGCACGGCCCAGUCAACAGACAAUGGGUGCCCAGGGAAGGCACAACAGGCCCAGCAUCCCCCUGUCCACCCAGGCACCGUCACCACCCUCUCACUACCCUCCACAAACCUUCAGGGGAAAGGAGUUGCCCCGCCAGGGUGUAGGCUUGGGGAAAUUUUCCGACAGAUGGACAACUGUGUCCUGGGGGAAGUAUGACAGGCCCAGCAGCCCCCAGUCCCCCCCCCCACCAGCUCUGCCCUCCCCCUCCUCUCCACCAUCCAUCAGGAGGUGGGAGCGGUCCCCCCCAGGGGGUAGAGUUAGGGGCAUCAUGCAACAUCUGUAAAACCACUGCCAGGAGGAAGUAUGACAGACCCAGCAGCACCCAGCCCCCCCCAGCAUCAUCUCUGUCCUCACACUCCUCUCCACCAUUGGUCAGGAGGUGGGAGCACCCCUGGCAUGUGGGUUUAGGGGCAUCAUCUGACAGCCAGAGAACUGCUGCUGGCAUUGACUGGGACUUUCCAGGCUGUGUUGUACCAAUAAGCAGAAAGUAAUACCACAGUUGUCUAUGCUGUACUGUUGUCAUGUUACUACUUUGACCCACUGCCAGACCUUGUGUGCCACUUGGCAUUGGCAGACAGAUAAUAUGUGUGGGAAUGGCUUUAAACUCAAAGAGAGAAAAUUGAGGUAGAUGUGUAGAGGUCAGAGGCAGCAAGGCCUGGCCCAGGGUGCCCAGAGGCUGUGGGUGCCCUGCAUCCUGUCGGAGGAAGGGACAGGGGUGGGAGUACAUUAUGCAAAAGUGCCAGUGCUUCUGCAUGAGGUUUACCAGACAGCAGGCACUGUUCUGCUCUGACUAGUGGGCAAUAAGUUGCUCUGCAAUAGGAACCAAGCAAGAACUGUUAGCACAUUUUCUUCCUCCUCCAUUUCAUUUUGCUCUGUGGGCUGGACUGAGAAUCUGAAAGCGGAGAGAGAUGGGAUGAAGACAGUGCUGCAAGCCUCGUAAAUCUGUUGUCACUGCUCACUCUGUGAUAAGUCGUCUUAUCAGAAGCACAGUCCAUUGUGCUCAGCUGCCAUGAUACCACCCUGCAACUCCUCUCCAGCACCUGUUCUAGGUCACUGAUACCUCAGAAUCGUUCAGGAGGUGCAACAUUCCUGUGUUUUCUCUCAGCUCUUAGCACUGCUGCACUCCUCAGGAGCUAUGGCCACAAACAAAGCAGCUGUCAGUCAGCUGUAAAAGCAUCCCGGUCCUCUGCAAGAGGACAGAGUGUUCCGGUUCUGACAGCUUCCCUCAGCAGCCCAAUAUUGAAAUGGUUUGUGGAGUUCCUUUGUGCAAGCUGCUAAGGACA